UAGGGAAUCUUCCACAAUGGACGCAAGUCUGAUGGAGCAACGCCGCGUGAGUGAAGAAGGUUUUCGGAUCGUAAAGCUCUGUUGUUGGUGAAGAAGGAUAGAGGCAGUAACUGGUCUUUAUAUGACGGUAAUCAACCAGAAAGUCACGGCUAACUACGUGCCAGCAGCCGCGGUAAUACGUAGGUGGCAAGCGUUGUCCGGAUUUAUUGGGCGUAAAGCGAGCGCAGGCGGAAUGAUAAGUCUGAUGUGAAAGCCCACGGCUCAACCGUGGAACUGCAUCGGAAACUGUCAUUCUUGAGUGCAGAAGAGGAGAGUGGAAUUCCAUGUGUAGCGGUGGAAUGCGUAGAUAUAUGGAAGAACACCAGUGGCGAAGGCGGCUCUCUGGUCUGCAACUGACGCUGAGGCUCGAAAGCAUGGGUAGCGAACAGG
This 429-nucleotide ribosomal RNA is filed under the name bacterium. RNAcentral's name for it is "partial 16S ribosomal RNA". It matches the Rfam family "Bacterial small subunit ribosomal RNA", at positions 355 to 776 of the family's 1533-position model. The record is from RNAcentral.